CCUACGGGAGGCUGCAGUAGGGAAUAUUGCUCAAUGGGGGAAACCCUGAUGCAGCAACGCCGCGUGGGGGAUGAAGGUUUUCGGAUUGUAAACUCCUUUUGUUAGAGCAGAUAAUGACGGUAUCUAACGAAUAAGCGCCGGCUAACUCCGUGCCAGCAGCCGCGGUACUACGGAGGGUGCAAGCGUUACUCGGAAUCACUGGGCGGAAAGGGCGCGUAGGCGGUAUAGCAAGUCAGAUGUGAAAUCCUAUGGCUUAACCAGAGAACUGCAUUUGAAGCUGUGAUUCUAGAGUAUGGGAGAGGUAGGUGGAAUUCUUGGUGUAGCGGUGAAAUCCGUAGAGAUCAAGAGGAAUACUCAUUGCGAAGGCGACCUGCUAGAACAUAACUGACGCUGAUGCGCGAAAGCGUGGGGAGCAAACAGGAUUAGAUACCCGUGUAGUC
RNAcentral lists this ribosomal RNA (440 nucleotides) under uncultured bacterium. Its description in RNAcentral is "partial 16S ribosomal RNA". It matches the Rfam family "Bacterial small subunit ribosomal RNA", at positions 338 to 795 of the family's 1533-position model. The record is from RNAcentral.